RNAcentral lists this long non-coding RNA (239 nucleotides) under Lathyrus oleraceus (garden pea). RNAcentral's name for it is "Pisum sativum (pea) long non-coding RNA (PSAT_LNC032197)". The record is from RNAcentral. Lineage: Eukaryota; Viridiplantae; Streptophyta; Magnoliopsida; Fabales; Fabaceae.
AAAUAUUGAAUUAUGCUUGAGAGAAAAUUUUGGAGGGAGAGAGAAUUUGGAUCUAGAAAUGGUGAAAAUGAUUAACCUCCUUGAAAUUCUGUUAGGUUUUAGUAUUUAUAUGCUCUCUUAAUCAUAUUGCUAAUCCACACUUAAUUGAAAUUAGGCAAAAUAAGGUGUUUGGCAAAAUUUCAAAAAUGCAUGGUGCAUGUAGUAAACCCACGUGAACAGUGUCAUGUGCUUGAUCAGAG